This 227-nucleotide long non-coding RNA is filed under the name Olea europaea (common olive). Its description in RNAcentral is "long non-coding RNA (OEUR_LNC007556)". The record is from RNAcentral. Lineage: Eukaryota; Viridiplantae; Streptophyta; Magnoliopsida; Lamiales; Oleaceae.
AAAAAGAAAAAAGGAAUGUUUGAUUUUUAACACUCCCUCUAUCAAAAAUGUGAUCCAUGAAUGUAUAAUUUUCACAAACAGAUGGCAACGAGAUUCUAAGGAUGAUGAUAUUCGAGGUUCUUCCUAUAAAUACUCGUAUAAGGCUCGACUCUCAGCAAGCCCCAAUUCAGAAGCUUUGUUUUCUACAUUUUUAUCUCUUUAGUUGACUGUGCAACUAAGCCAGCAAA